Molecule: ribosomal RNA, 112 nt
Filed under: Caerostris darwini
Lineage: Eukaryota; Metazoa; Arthropoda; Arachnida; Araneae; Araneidae
Source: RNAcentral
AACGGCCGUACCAUGCUGAAUAUACCGGUUCUCGUUAGAUCACCGAAGUCAAGCAUCAUUGGGCGCGGUCAGUAUUUGGGUGGGUGACCACCUGGGAACACCGCGUGCCGUU